This 105-nucleotide ribosomal RNA is filed under the name Loxodonta africana (African savanna elephant). Lineage: Eukaryota; Metazoa; Chordata; Mammalia; Proboscidea; Elephantidae. The record is from RNAcentral.
GUCUUAGACCAUACCACCCUGUAUGUGUCUGAUCUCAGAAGCUAAGCAGGGUCAGGCCUGGUUAGUACUUGGAUGGGUGAUUGUCAAGGCUGCCCUUCACAGCUU